This 253-nucleotide ribosomal RNA is filed under the name uncultured bacterium. RNAcentral describes it as "partial 16S ribosomal RNA". It matches the Rfam family "Bacterial small subunit ribosomal RNA", at positions 524 to 776 of the family's 1533-position model. The record is from RNAcentral.
UACGAGGGGUGCAAGCGUUGCUCGGAAUUAUUGGGCGUAAAGGGUAGGUAGGUGGUCUCGUUUGUCUGGGGUGAAAGCCUUGAGCUUAACCUGGGAAUGGCCAUGGAAACUGGCGAACUGGAGUGUGGCAGAGGGGGGUGGAAUUCCGCGUGUAGCAGUGAAAUGCGUAGAGAUGCGGAGGAACACCGAUGGCGAAGGCAGCCCCCUGGGCUAGCACUGACGCUCAGGCACGAAAGCGUGGGGAGCAAACAGG